This 253-nucleotide ribosomal RNA is filed under the name uncultured bacterium. RNAcentral describes it as "partial 16S ribosomal RNA". It matches the Rfam family "Bacterial small subunit ribosomal RNA", at positions 524 to 776 of the family's 1533-position model. The record is from RNAcentral.
GACGUAGGGCGCGAGCGUUGUCCGGAUUUAUUGGGCGUAAAGAGCUCGUAGGCGGCUUGUCGCGUCGAAUGUGAAAUCUCAGGGCUCAACUCUGACAUUGCAUUCGAUACGGGCAGGCUCGAGUUCGGUAGGGGAGACUGGAAUUCCUGGUGUAGCGGUGAAAUGCGCAGAUAUCAGGAGGAACACCGGUGGCGAAGGCGAGUCUCUGGACAUUUCCUGACGCUGAGGCACGAAAGCCAGGGGAGCAAACGGG